Molecule: transfer RNA, 83 nt
Filed under: Bacteroidales bacterium
Lineage: Bacteria; Pseudomonadati; Bacteroidota; Bacteroidia; Bacteroidales
Also listed under: 1 other name
Description: tRNA-Leu
Rfam family: tRNA
About the family: Transfer RNA (tRNA) molecules are approximately 80 nucleotides in length. Their secondary structure includes four short double-helical elements and three loops (D, anti-codon, and T loops).
Source: RNAcentral
GCCCUGGUGGUGGAAUGGUAGACACGGUAGACUCAAAAUCUGCUGCUCGCAAGGGCGUGUGGGUUCAAGUCCCACCCGGGGUA